UAUAUAUAUAAUGGUUGAAGUAUUAGCAUUAUUGGAAAUGGCAAUUGACAUUUUGGGGGCACAAUUAAUUAGAAUAAAAAGUAAGGAGUUCAAACAAGUCAAAAAUCCAAACUAAGGAUUUAAAAGGUAAUUUGCCAUUGAUACCCAAUCAUGGGUUGACACAUGGCAAAGAAAACUUCCUUGUGAAGCUUGGAGGCUGAAAAUUCUGCUCCCUUCAUUUUGGCUGAAUCUAUCUAAAAAAAAAGCAAUUUUUUCAUCUUCUCUUUCUUUCAAUCAAACUCCACUAAACCAUCUUCUUGCCCUAACUCUAACCAUCUUCAUCUUUCAACAAAAACCAUCAUUUCCACCAUGAAACUAACAAGCUCAGCCCCCAAAUUAACAUUCUAGUAUAUGUUUGCUCAAAAGAAAGAAAAAGGGGGAAAGAAAAGAAGAGGACACAGAAGAGAUGAAAGGAGCAGGAGAAUAUGAAGCAACUGAUGGCUCUCGCAUUUCAGUUAAAUAGGUUGCUCAAACUCAAAAAGAUAUAUAGUUGAUCAGUGUCUGAAUUGCUUGAUUUGCCGGAAACUCUCUCGUGAGAGCAAAAGGAAGAAGGUUUUAAAAAGUAAACGCCAAAGUCUCCGAUUGCAUCAGGUGUCUCUUUGGAAUGGCCUGCGGAUAGUGAUAUCUGUAGAAUGAACUGUCAUCAUACGACCUCUAGUUUUGCAUCUCAAGUAGCACCAUUUAGCAUGGAUUUUCUAGAUGAUUCUCCUCAAUUUGAUGCUGAAGAAGAAGCGCUUAAGACAUUAGUUAUCAGGAAGAAAUCAGGCUUAUCUUUCUUAGUUCAUGAUGAUGAGGUGGUUCAAAUCUUCCUCAAGCAAAUUCGUGAGGAGUUGGAGACAUUCAAGGGAAUUAGGUUAGUCUAUUUUUGGGGUUCCACAGAUUUUUUCUUGUUAUGUCGUGUUUCUUUGCUAUAUGUCUUUAGCUACUUUGGUUUCAAACUUCCCUAGUUGUUAUCGCAUUCUGCCUAUCAUCUUCACUUUUUAGUGUGCCUUGUGAACUUAAGAGUCCGUUUUAUUUCUUGUUCUUGUUAGUUGUCUGUCUUCAUAUUUUAUAUCUUUUCUUCCAUCUAUCAGCAACUAGAAGCAUGUAACGUUUUGUGGGUUAUCUUGUUUCUGAGUUUAAGCCUGUGUGUUUUGAGCCCUCUUUUUCGAUCUAUUUUUUUUGAGUUGUACCUUUAUACUACUCUUUUUUGUUUAUUUAGUAAAAUUUUGCUUUAUUUAUAUAAAAAAAAAAACCAUCAUCUUAUCUAUUUCAAAUGAUUUGAAAUUUCUUAUGUGUAUUGAAAUUUCAAAUUUAAAUUAUUGAAAAUAUUCUUUCAUAAUGGUUCUUUCUUUAAAAUAAUACUUUGAGAGCAAAAUCUUUUAUAAAAAAUAAGAUUAAGUUUUUUAAUUAUCCCUUUCCCUCAUCAAUGGACACAGUGAUAACUCCAGAAAUUAUGCACAAAGAAACCUAUCUUGAAAGGACUAAAACAUUUUCUCUCUUUUUCUUAUUCUUUAGAGAAAACAAACGUUCAAAAAAAAAAUACAAACAUUCUUUCACUUCACACUUAGGCCAUAGCCAUGUUGGAGGGAUGCUGAACAUGGCAUUCUUCUACGUAAAGUACUAGUCAAUCCUGCAUCCUUUUUCUUGCCUAUUUUUUCUCAUGCUCUUUUAAGUGGACCGUCCAUUGGAAGAGCAAAGAGUCCUGCUCUGAAGAAGCACCAUUGACUACCUAUCAUUUAUAAAUAAAUAUAUAAAUAUAAUUUAUUAAUUACAUAUCCCUUCUAUCCAUUUUUAUCUGUUGCAUUUAGAUUUUACACGGUGAUAAAGGAAAUGAUUGGAUAACCUAUUUUUUAUAAAAACAUACUAGUAAUAGAUAAAAUUAAUUUUA
This is an RNA transcript of Hevea brasiliensis (rubber tree), 1909 nucleotides long. RefSeq lists it as uncharacterized. The transcript has 2 exons. NCBI's taxonomy places the organism in Eukaryota, Viridiplantae, Streptophyta, Magnoliopsida, Malpighiales, Euphorbiaceae. The record is from RefSeq and is a predicted model, not a curated record.